This 1274-nucleotide long non-coding RNA is filed under the name Canis lupus familiaris (dog). RNAcentral describes it as "lncRNA (ENSCAFG00000051089.1)". The record is from RNAcentral. Lineage: Eukaryota; Metazoa; Chordata; Mammalia; Carnivora; Canidae.
GGGACAGAAGGAAGGAAGCUGGUGCUGAGUGUUUCAGUAUGGACCAUGAGCUUCUGGUUGCCAACUUCCAGUGGGGAAGAGUGCCCACUAGUGACUGGCAUCACAAGGAGGCUACCUGGUCUGGGUGCUUCCUAAAACUGCUCAACAUAGGUGGGGAGACUGUACAAGAAAGACAUUUAUUUUGAACAAUUGUGAGGAUUUGACAUCGUAAUCACUCUCAUAAAUACAGCACUGCUUAGGGGCUGUCAUGUGCAAUCUCAUAUCUCUGAUAAUUCUCCAGGAAUACUGUCAGACACCUAUCCAGUUACUGGGAGGAAACUAAUGUUAAAUAAAUUUCUCCAGAUUGUAUUGCUGUUACAAGAGAGGGAAAGACUAGACUUCCUGCCCUCUCUGUCUGGCUGCUUUUCAUACUUGGGAACCCUCAACAUGGGUAAAUCUGAAGGCUGCCGAUGAAAAAAUAAAUGUAGUAAAAUAAGUGUUUAGGUAGGAAGGAAGGAAUGCAGUGUGUGCUGUUGUUUCUCUUUUGCGUGGGGACUGCUUCGAGUUGAAAGUGGUAGUGGACACACUCGUGAAACCAAGAAAGGGAAAAAGAUCCAUGUGCAGAACGAAGUUGGAGAAACGGGUUAGGAACUAAUGUGGAAUCCUUCACUGAUGAGAUCACUGGGUGAAUCUGUUGGGGGGUCAGCCUACCUGGGUCGGUCAACUCAAGGGACGUGAGCUGACCUGAGAGAUGCAACGGAUUGUGUGGCUUUGUUCAUGCACAGGUCAGAGGAGCUUUCACAAGGCAUUUUAUGAGCAGGGGCACCACGUGCAGAGUAAAACUUUGGCGGCACUGAGUACAUUUUUAAAGAGAAGUAAUACUUAUUUUGGGGAGCCCACUGAGGAGAUUCUUGAAGGUCUUGAACUAUAAGCUUCAGCCCUAGAGAGAGUAAUGAGGUGAUCAAAGAGAAGCUGUUCAGGAGAUAGAAAAAUGUUCAAUGGACUGAGCUUUCAAAGCAAUGGAGAGAGAAGUGGUUCUGGUGUGAAUAGUCUCACUACCACUAUAGUUACAAAAGAAAAAUCUAUUUGUGUUGGAUUUUUACCAACUUCUAGACAUUUUGACUUGGGCCUCAGAUAUGUUAAGAACUCUCUUUCUCUCCCUCUCCCUUAAAAUAAUGGGGAAGGUGUGGGAUGAUGUACCCUCAAGACUCCAUGGAACUGUGAGAUCCUGUAAUUCUAAAAAUUAACUCUGAGAUCUGGAAAGUUAUAUAGGAUAACAACAAACAAAUGAAAAA